GGAGGCAUUCCCAUACGCACGCACGGCAUAUCGGAGCAGCGCCAGCGAAUGCGCAUGGCUUCACUUGCCCUGUCUUUUGGCCCGAGUGACGAUACACGCACACAUGCGCGUGCGCUGCUGUCACCCAACGGAGCACCCUCCUCCCUAACGCAGAACUGAACAUCCCCAACCCCCACCACGUAUGUGCAGGCUCAAGAAUCAAAGGCGAGAUGCUCCAGCGAACUAUCGCGUACACACCCAUACGCGAAAAUAUCGACUUGGUGCAGCCAACAAGACAUCGCCGACGUGGCGCAGCCUCGACAGGUCGAUAGUGGGUGUUAAAGCAUCUGCCUAAUCCACGAUCUGUGGCGUGCACCUUCGCUCUCUCUCCGUACUCCCACCCCGGCGUCACCUCACCCAUUUACUGCUUUGCUUUCAGCUCUUCUCUCGCUCUCCCCGACGACGACGCGGGGGGGGCACAUGCCUCUGUGCGUCGUGUCUCUGGGCCCAGUGCCCACUCUCUCUGUGGGGAAGCCAAGCAGCCCCUAUUCCUGCCACUGCACAACCACCUCUGGUGGUGACAGGGUCAGGCGCGCGUGACGUAGGGACGUCAGAGCGAUGUAUCACUGCCGAUGCCCGCAGUGUCCGGUGCUGGAUGGCGUGGCGCCGGAGCGACCCGCGACCGCGCACACGUUUUCGCCAUCCACAGGAUGGGCGGAGUGUCGGCGUGACUCGAACGCGUCCCACCCCCGGCCCUCACUGCCCACUGGGGGCGGGGUGAGCCUGGCCCCCCCCCCCCCCCCCCGAGAGGGAUGCCCCGGGUGAUGGCCAGCAUAAUGUGCGUGGCUGUGGGGCGACCUGUGGGGCGGGGGUGGGUAAGGUUCGAGGCAGAAGCCAUGCACCGAUGACCGGGUCUGGGCAUUGCUGCACCUCGUGUGCCUACGGCUGCCUCGCGCCGCGCGACGGGGCCUGUGACCGGCCGGACAGAGAUGAGCUUAGCUCUUGUUGUGUGGUGGCAUGGGCGUGGAAAGAAAACG
This 1016-nucleotide unclassified non-coding RNA is filed under the name Leishmania donovani. Its description in RNAcentral is "gene:unknown". Lineage: Eukaryota; Euglenozoa; Kinetoplastea; Trypanosomatida; Trypanosomatidae. The record is from RNAcentral.